CGGUGGAGCAUGUGGUUCAAUUCGACGCAACGCGCAGAACCUUACCUGGUUAAAUCCACUAGAACCUUCUAGAGAUAAGGUCCUGGCUAGUGACGGUGUGACGAGCGCAACCUCUGUCGUUAGUUGCCAGCGAGAUGUCAAGUCUCAUGGCCCUUAUGCCCAGGCUACAUACAUGGCCGGUACAAGGGAUGCAAGACCGCGAGGUGGAGCCUCCCAAAAAACCGUCCUCAGUUCGGAUUGUAGUGCAACUCGACUACAUGAAGCUGGAAUCGCUAGUAAUCGAGAUCAGCAUGCUACGGUGAAUACGUUCCCGGGCCUUGUACACACCGCCGUCACACCAUGGGAGUCAGUUGCUCUAGAAGUCGGUGCGCCAACCCCGGAGGCAGCCGCCUAAAAGUGACUGGUGACUGGGGUGAAGUCGUACAAGGU
RNAcentral lists this ribosomal RNA (429 nucleotides) under uncultured delta proteobacterium. RNAcentral's name for it is "bacterial SSU rRNA". It matches the Rfam family "Bacterial small subunit ribosomal RNA", at positions 930 to 1497 of the family's 1533-position model. The record is from RNAcentral. Lineage: Bacteria; Deltaproteobacteria.